Molecule: ribosomal RNA, 137 nt
Filed under: uncultured bacterium
Lineage: Bacteria
Description: partial 16S ribosomal RNA
Rfam family: Bacterial small subunit ribosomal RNA
Source: RNAcentral
UGGGGGAGUAUUGCACAAUGGGGGAAACCCUGAUGCAGCAACGCCGCGUGAAGGAAGAAGGUCUUCGGAUUGUAAACUUUGUCCUUGGUGAAGAUAAUGACGGUAGCCAAGGAGGAAGCUCCGGCUAACUACGUGCC